RNAcentral lists this transfer RNA (77 nucleotides) under Yersinia ruckeri. RNAcentral's name for it is "tRNA-Val". The stretch from base 6 to 68 matches the Rfam family "tRNA", at positions 6 to 65 of the family's 71-position model. From Rfam's summary of the family: Transfer RNA (tRNA) molecules are approximately 80 nucleotides in length. Their secondary structure includes four short double-helical elements and three loops (D, anti-codon, and T loops). Further hydrogen bonds mediate the characteristic L-shaped molecular structure. tRNAs have two regions of fundamental functional importance: the anti-codon, which is responsible for specific mRNA codon recognition, and the 3' end, to which the tRNAs corresponding amino acid is attached (by aminoacyl-tRNA synthetases). tRNAs cope with the degeneracy of the genetic code in two manners: having more than one tRNA (with a specific anti-codon) for a particular amino acid; and 'wobble' base-pairing, i.e. permitting non-standard base-pairing at the 3rd anti-codon position. The record is from RNAcentral. Lineage: Bacteria; Pseudomonadati; Pseudomonadota; Gammaproteobacteria; Enterobacterales; Yersiniaceae.
CUUAACGUAGCUCAGUUGGUUAGAGCACCACCUUGACAUGGUGGGGGUCGGUGGUUCGAGUCCACUCGGACGCACCA